This 237-nucleotide long non-coding RNA is filed under the name Lathyrus oleraceus (garden pea). Its description in RNAcentral is "Pisum sativum (pea) long non-coding RNA (PSAT_LNC035751)". Lineage: Eukaryota; Viridiplantae; Streptophyta; Magnoliopsida; Fabales; Fabaceae. The record is from RNAcentral.
CACCCCCAAAAUAAUGCUUUGAACUUAUAAGAACAACCAAUUGUGUCGAUGUUUGUUCAUGUAGGAACUUCAACUUCUGUUGGAAAAAUGUCUAUAGUUAUAAGUCAGAUAACUGCUUCGACUAUAUCACAAGAAAUGUCGGUAUCCUUAUCACAAUUAAUGAGUGUGCUUACUACCCCUAGGGCUACAUAAAAUAUAAUAGGAGAUCAAAGGCCUCAUUUUCCCUUUAGUUUCAUG